GCUUUUUAUCUGAGAUAUCGGAAUGUUAACAACAACAACAACAAAACCAAAGGUAGUGAUCAUUCUAAAAUGCAAAACAAUGAACACACUCAAGUUGAUUUUGGAUUUGACCAUACACGUUUCUCAGAAGAGGGAGCUUUCCUGUGAGUUACCCAUGAUAGAAGAACUGGCAGAUAAGAAUUCUUGGCAGUGAGAAUGCACAAAAGGAAUGAAGCAAAGUUAACUGGGGUUACAGGUCAGGGAGCAUGCAAGAACACGGGUAGAGUUGUGAUCAAAGGAACAAGUGGCUUAUGACAGAACUUCUUUACUAAAGACUCUGAAGUCAAAGUCAUAUUUGUGUUUAAUAUAGAGUAUCCUAUAUGCGUCAACGGGUAUGGAAUGAAAGAAAUGUAUUCAGAUAUGAAGAGAUGGGAGAAACAAGAAGGUCUGUAGAGAAAGUACAGUGAAUAUUUGAAUUUUUAUGUUGGGUCAUAUAAAUUGAUUUUGCUAGUGGCAUACCUUAACAUUUACUACUUACUGAGACUGUUACUAUGCAGUUCACUUUAACCCAGCAGAACAAAUGAAA
RNAcentral lists this long non-coding RNA (565 nucleotides) under Macaca mulatta (Rhesus monkey). RNAcentral describes it as "lncRNA (ENSMMUG00000046765.2)". Lineage: Eukaryota; Metazoa; Chordata; Mammalia; Primates; Cercopithecidae. The record is from RNAcentral.